GGCGCCGGGGCGGACUGCGGCGGUGAGCGCGGCUGCAGGCCGCGGUCGUAGUGGACUAAUUUUACAGGCGAAGUUAAGUGACUUACCCAAAACCUCACAGCUAAUAAACGGCAGAGCCGGCACCCAGCUGUACUGGCUUCCAGCGCAUCCCAUUAUCUCCAUAAAUCCCCCUGAUUCAACUAAUAUUAGACGCCCCACAGGUAAGAUGCUUCAGAGUUAGAGGGGAGUUGAAGAUACCUUUGCCUUCAAAGAAGUAAGGAAUGAAACAAAGAUAAAACAGACAAUAAAAGACAAACCAUGAUAGGUGCCACGUGAAAAGUGGCAGAGUACUGCCGGGAAUCAAAGAACCGUGUAUAUCUGUCUUGGGGAUAAGGAAAGAAACGCAGCAUGAAGGAGUAGGCAUUUGGGAUUGACCUUGAAGGAGACAGGGAGAGUUUUACAGCAAGAAGGGAUAGCAUGAGAAUAUAUAUGAAGGCGAAUCAGUGAAAGUUGUGUUGGGGAAAGAGCAAAGACUCCAGGUAUGUUGAGAGGUAGAAAAGACAAAGGAGUAUGGGGCCUAAGAUACCAAAUGGAUGAAUUUAUAUUUAAUUCAGUAUUUUGAGUUUUUAUGGUUCAGAAGUUUGGGGGAAGAAAAGGAAGGUUUUUUUUUUCUUUAUGCUAGUGAUUUAUCUGUGAAGGGAAGCAGAAAUCAGAGGUGGAAAAACUGACAGAUCUACUGUAGGCCAGGUAAAAGGUAAUGAUGAGUCUGACCUAAAGGGACAGCCAGGGGAAUUUAAAGAGCAUAGUUGAGAGAUGAUGUGCAUGCAGAAUCUAUAGAAUUUGCUAACUGAUUGAUUAAUUGUGGGUAGGAAGAGAGAAAUCAAAGAAAGUGGAGGUUUUGAGUUUCUAGAUAAUUGCAAGAGAGAAAAGAGACAAUUACAAAGGAAAGGAGAAGGAGCUACUUCUUGAGAGAAGAUCAGUUUAGAUUUAGACAUUUUAAGAAUUCAAAGGGUUGUCAAGACAGCCAGACGGACAUGGACACUAAUAAGUUAGAAAUAAAGGUUUUGUAAUAUGGGAAAGAGGACUGAGCUAGAAAAUAGACUCAUAGAUAAUCAGCCUAGGAGUGAUAUUGCUGUGAGAUAAAAGAAGAAAACAAAGUCAGAAUCUUGGAAAACACCCUCUUCAGAGUCUCGCUGCUCAAAACGUGGUCAGUGGCCCAGCAGCACUGACAUGAGGACCUUAGUUGGAAACUCAGAAUCUCAGGCUCCACCCCAGACCUGCUGAACCAGCAUCUUCAACUUAACAAGAACCCGAAGAGAUUUGUGCCACAUCAAAAAGUUUGAGAAGCUCUGAUCUAGGUGAGCCAAGCCAGCAAAGAAAGGGGGUGGAGCAGAAAAUGGGAGGAGAAUAGGGUAAUGCAGAAUCAUCAAGACAAGGUAAAUUGGACUUUCACAAAAACGGGGCUGGAAGGAGUGUUGCUCAACAAUAUCCAAAACCACAGAGGUUGAAAAGCACAAGGAAAGAAGGUAUGUUUGCACUUUGUGAUUAGGUAGUAGGGUCUUUAAGACCACAUUGUUCUCAUUGAAAGCCUGGGAAGAAAGAUCCCCUUUCUGGUCAAGGUUAGUCUAGGGAUCCAUCCCCUCUUCCCCAGUUCCCACGUAUAUGGGACAUGUCGAGAUAAGUAGAUAGAUUGGACAGUGGGAGAAAGUAGUUCUCUUCCAGUUGCUUCUAUUUUCUCAGCAAAGUGAGGAACAAGAUCAUUUUGGCAGACUGCUAAUUGUCCAUCAUAAUUUAGUCUCCCCUUCUCCCUGAAAACACAGACUGCUUUUCUCAGCCUCUCUUUCAGUUGCAUAUGGUCAAGUAUUAAGUUAUAGAACAUGAGCAGAUGUUAUGUCUGCCACUGUCAGGCCAAGGCGUUUACUUUGAGAGUACUUGUGCCUCUUUCAUACAUUUUCCUUUCUGCCAGCUGGACCCUGGACACGGUGACUCUGAUUCAAUUAUGCAGAUGACCACAAGCCUCUGGGGUUGGCAGAGCCACAAGAAAGAAGGUGCCUGGAUGAAGGAGAGCUACCCACUGACCUGGACACCCAAUUAUGUCAUAGGUGCUGCAAUCUAGAGACAAAAUAUUCCUUACACUGCCAGAUACUUGCAAACUAAGGGGAACGAGCUUCCCUCUGAAUGUUUAUGAAGGAGAGACCACUGUGUCAUCUGUCUUAGAGCUAUUGGAAUCCUGGAUCAUUGUGGGAAAUGAAAAGAACUGGUUUUUAGCAAGGAGACCAAGAAACUCUACUCCCUAGGGGCUAGCAAUGAGAGAAAGGAAGCCUUGAGUCUUUGAGCACAGGGUGACAGUUUGGGUCCUAUGUGAGAUGAUCAAAUCCACAGCAACAGAGGAAAGGACAAAAGGAAAAGAUACUUCGAUGGAAUCAGCAGCCAUUGAUCCAAUGCCAACUCCAAGACUGGAACGUCGCAAUGAUAGUUCCAAGGCGGAAAUUUGAC
This 2475-nucleotide long non-coding RNA is filed under the name Homo sapiens (human). RNAcentral describes it as "HSALNT0353267". The record is from RNAcentral. Lineage: Eukaryota; Metazoa; Chordata; Mammalia; Primates; Hominidae.